This 266-nucleotide ribosomal RNA is filed under the name uncultured bacterium. RNAcentral's name for it is "partial 16S ribosomal RNA". It matches the Rfam family "Bacterial small subunit ribosomal RNA", at positions 28 to 291 of the family's 1533-position model. The record is from RNAcentral.
GAUGAACGCUAGCGGCAGGCUUAAUACAUGCAAGUCGAGGGGCAGCAUGAGUAGCAAUACUUGAUGGCGACCGGCAAACGGGUGCGGAACACGUACGCAACCUUCCUUUAAGUGGAGAAUAGCCCGGGGAAAACCCGGAUUAAUACUCCGUAAUAUUAUGAUGUGGCAUCACUUUAUAAUCAUAGAUUUAUCGCUUAAAGAUGGGCGUGCGCCUGAUUAGGUAGUGGCGGGGUAACGGCCCACCAAGCCUUCGAUCAGUAACUGGU